UACGGGGGGGGCAAGCGUUGUUCGGAAUUACUGGGCGUAAAGGGCGCGUAGGCGGCCUGAUAAGUAGGGGGUGAAAUCCUGCGGCUUAACCGCAGGGCUGCCUUCUAAACUGUCAGGCUAGAGCACGGUAGAGGCAGAUGGAAUUCCCGGUGUAGCGGUGGAAUGCGUAGAGAUCGGGAGGAACACCAGUGGCGAAAGCGGCUACCUGGCCCAUUCUUGACGCUGAGGCGCGAAAGCUAGGGGAGCAAACGGG
Molecule: ribosomal RNA, 253 nt
Filed under: uncultured bacterium
Lineage: Bacteria
Description: partial 16S ribosomal RNA
Rfam family: Bacterial small subunit ribosomal RNA
Source: RNAcentral